Molecule: ribosomal RNA, 278 nt
Filed under: uncultured bacterium
Lineage: Bacteria
Description: partial 16S ribosomal RNA
Rfam family: Bacterial small subunit ribosomal RNA
Source: RNAcentral
GCGUGGAGGAAGAAGGUUUUCGGAUCGUAAACUCCUGUCCCGAGGGACGAAGCAAGUGACGGUACCUUGGGAGGAAGCCCCGGCUAACUCCGUGCCAGCAGCCGCGGUAAUACGGGGGGGGCGAGCGUUGUUCGGAAUUACUGGGCGUAAAGGGCGCGUAGGCGGUUUUGGAAGUCAUGGGUGAAAGCCCCGGGCUCAACCCGGGAAUGGCCUGUGAAACCACGGAACUGGAGUGCUGGAGAGGGAAGCGGAAUUCCCAGUGUAGCGGUGAAAUGCGU